Molecule: long non-coding RNA, 501 nt
Filed under: Elaeis guineensis (African oil palm)
Lineage: Eukaryota; Viridiplantae; Streptophyta; Magnoliopsida; Arecales; Arecaceae
Description: long non-coding RNA (EGUI_LNC026623)
Source: RNAcentral
ACAUCGUAGUGGAGAAUAAGAUUAAAAUAUUUUUAAUCUGAAUUAUACAUACAUGAAAAUAUAAAAUCAUAUGGAUCUAUUUCAUAUGCUGAAAUUGAUAUAUACUAAAAUUCAGAUUGUGAUCAAAUUACAUACCUGUUUCGCAAUCCUUUUCUUCGAAUCUGGAUCUGAAAGAGAAGAGAUUCUCUCUUAGCCGUACAAGUAUCCGGCCUCUACAAGUAUCCACUCGAGAUCAGCUUAGAACAGUCAUCUUUAAUCUAAAUUUUGGUUCUCCAAAAUUCAACCUGCUGAAUCUGAAUGAAGCCUAGAUCACAAUCAAUGCUUGAUCUUUUUUCUUGAUCUUCUUCUUCUCCUCUUCUCUAAAGUUUCUCCUUGCUUUGUGCUGCUACAAAACACCAACAACCAGUAAAUUAUAAGAUACCCAACACCUUAGGUGUGAAACUCUUUGGGACUCGUAUCCCAAAAGAUGGGCAUGUAGAAUGCUCAAGAGAAGAGAAAGGG